UUGGGAAUUUUCCGCACUGGGCGCAAGCCUGACGGAGCAACGCCGCGUGAGGGAGGAAGGCCUGUGGGUUGUAAACCUCUUUUCUCUGGGAAGAAGGUCUGCCGGUACCAGAGGAAUCAUCAUCGGCUAACUCCGUGCCAGCAGCCGCGGUAAGACGGAGGAUGCAAGCGUUAUCCGGAAUUAUUGGGCGUAAAGCGUCCGUAGGCGGUUAUACAAGUCUGCUGUUAAAGACUACAGCUCAACUGUAGGAUGGCGGUGGAAACUGUGUGACUAGAGUUCGGUAGGGGUAGAGGGAAUUCCCAGUGUAGCGGUGAAAUGCGUAGAUAUUGGGAAGAACACCAGUGGCGAAGGCGCUCUACUGGGCCGAGACUGACGCUGAUGGACGAAAGCUAGGGGGGCGAAAGGGAUUAGAUACCCCGGUAGUCC
RNAcentral lists this ribosomal RNA (426 nucleotides) under uncultured prokaryote. Its description in RNAcentral is "bacterial SSU rRNA". It matches the Rfam family "Bacterial small subunit ribosomal RNA", at positions 355 to 796 of the family's 1533-position model. The record is from RNAcentral.